Molecule: long non-coding RNA, 656 nt
Filed under: Apteryx owenii (little spotted kiwi)
Lineage: Eukaryota; Metazoa; Chordata; Aves; Apterygiformes; Apterygidae
Description: lncRNA (ENSAOWG00000012766.1)
Source: RNAcentral
UCACUCUGGAGGAAAAGCCCCUCCCCUGCCCCAGGCGCUGCUUAACUGCUGUGAGGAGGGGGAGCAGCUGCCUUCCCUUCUCCUACUUGGCCACCUUCUUUYAGCAGGUGCUGGGGGAAGGUCCUGGCUGCGGAAGGGCAAGUUGGGCUCUGUCCCACCGGCCGGCUGAGGACCGCGUGCCCCGAAACCUCCCUUCGGCUGCUGCCCUGGGGCACGUCUCUCAGGCGCCUCCUCUCCCACAGCUGGCUGGCCGGCUGGUCUCGCCCGCAGCGAAACGGGAGCAGCCCAACUGCAGAAAAAGUGAACAACCUGUGAAUGCGCUAGACCACUGGAUCAUCUUAAGACAUCUGAAAUUCUGAUAAUAGUGAAAACUGCUGAUUCUGUGGAGACAGAUGGAGAAUGUUUCCUGUUUUGACUUUGCUGAGUUUUACAGGUUCUAUGUAGGUCACAGAACGACUGUGCUUGUAAGCCCAGGCCUUUGAAGGCUGUGGAGGUGCUUUUCCAUAAGUAACCACACAGGGACACUUAAGAAUUCACAGCCUUACAGCAUUCUCCCUGAAAAGGAAUAAUAUUUCUGAUGCUGUUGUUCAUCUUCAUCAACUGCUAGAUGAAGGAUGUUGCUUUGGUUGGACGUGGACUGUUACAGAUUUCUCCUC